UAGGUCUAAAUCUUUAUCCAAUUGCUGUAGAAAUUAAAGCCAGUCCUACAACUAAAAUAAUUAUAAAAAUUAGCUUAUAACCUCAUGCGAUGCAUGAGAUGUAAUUUUUUUAAUGUAAUAUUUCAUUUUAUUUAUCCAACCUGAGGAUAUUGGAGGGAGAAGCCCGAUGCUGGUGAUGAUGAAGAGAAAGGCGAUCACAG
Molecule: long non-coding RNA, 200 nt
Filed under: Elaeis guineensis (African oil palm)
Lineage: Eukaryota; Viridiplantae; Streptophyta; Magnoliopsida; Arecales; Arecaceae
Description: long non-coding RNA (EGUI_LNC021132)
Source: RNAcentral